This 253-nucleotide ribosomal RNA is filed under the name uncultured bacterium. RNAcentral describes it as "partial 16S ribosomal RNA". It matches the Rfam family "Bacterial small subunit ribosomal RNA", at positions 524 to 776 of the family's 1533-position model. The record is from RNAcentral.
AACGUAGGUCCCGAGCGUUAUCCGGAUUUACUGGGCGUAAAGCGUGUUCAGGCGGUCUAGCAAGUCGGGCAUGAAAUCUCUCGGCUCAACCGGGAGGGGUUGUCCGAUACUGCUGGGCUUGAGGGCAGCAGAGGGUGGUGGAAUUCCGGGUGUAGUGGUGAAAUGCGCAGAUAUCAGGAGGAACACCGGUGGCGAAGGCGGAUCUCUGGGCCUGUUCUGACGCUGAGGCGCGAAAGCUAGGGGAGCAAACAGG